GUUGCAUCUUAAUGUGGAAUAAAUAUGGCAUACACUUGUUAGGUAUCAAUUAGAAUUAAAGUCCUAGAUUUGCUUGAUAAUUUUUUGACUCUGUUCAAAGGGUAAGGUGACCAAUGAAAUACUAACGAAAGAGGAACUCCAGUAGAAGAUUAUUUGCUAACUAAACAUCUGAGUUCAGCUUAAAAAGUGAUAUUUCAAACUUUUCUUCUCAAUGUUCUCAUUCUGGAUGGUCCAGACACCACCGGCUUUGCUCCAUCCCUUUGGGAAGACAGCACACCCAGAGCUCAAGUCUGCUGCUCAUUCUGGAAGGGGAGAUGUCCUGGGCCCAGGGUUUGGAAAUGUCUUCUUGGACAAGCUUAAGCCGAACUUGUCUGAGGCAACAAAGAGAGCAAAGAGAAAGAUAAAGAUGGAGUCCUCAAAGAAUAAACAUGAUUAAGAGCAGAGCCCACAGCUCCAGAUGUGAAAACCAUGACUCGAUUGUCAGUGAGGAGAGACUGGUCCCUGGGGUUUGCUGACCUCCCAGGGAGCAAUGCAUUUCAGAGAGCUGUCAGAGCAGUUUUCUUCUUUAAGCCCUGGUUUGUUAAUUAUUAUUUUUUAUUAUUUAAAAAAUGUUUUCUAUCGAUACAUAAUAUUUGUAUAUAUUUGUGGAGCAGAUUUUAGAUUGCAGAAUUCAAUGGUCUAAGGGAGAAGAGAUGAACAAGCUUGAUGUAACAAGGAAGGUUAAGAGUGAUAUUUAAAUGGAAAGGGAAGUAUAUAUUUUAUUGUUUCCUGUUGCUGUAAUAAAUUAUCAAAAAUUGUCAUAAACUUAUAAACUGGCACAUUUAUAAACUCACAAACUUAUAAACUUAUAAACUGCCUUAAAAUAACAUGAAUUUAUUAUUUUACAGUUCUGGAGGUCAGAAGUCCAAGAUGGGUCUCCCUGGGCUAAAAUCAAGGUGUUGGGAGGCUGUGUUCCUUUCUGGAGGCUCUAACGGGGAAUCUGUUCUCUUGCCUUUUCCAACUUCUCAAAGCUGCAUGUGUUUCUUGGCUCGUGACUCCACACCACCCUGAUUUCUGCUUCCAUUGUUGCAUCUCCUUCUCCGACUCUGACCCUUCUGCCACCCUUUUAUGAGGAUCCCUGCUGUUAACAAUAUGUUCAUCAAAUAAUACAGAGUAAUUUCUCCUGCUUAAGAUCCUCAACAUUAUCACAUUUGCAAAGUCCCUUUUGCCAUCUAAGCUGACAUAUCCACAGGUUCCCGGUAUUGAUGUGUGGACACCUUUGGGGCAUGGGCGUUAUUCUGCCUACCAGUUUCCUAUUGCUUCUGUAACAAAUUACCAUAAAUGAAGUGGUUCAAAACAAUGCAGAAGUAUGAUAUUAUGGUCCUAGACAUUAGAAAUGCAAAAUGGGCUUAAGUGGGCUAAACUCAGGGUGUUGUUAGGAAUGCAUUCCUUUCUGGAGGCUAUAGGGCAGAAUCUAUUUCCUUGCCUUUUCCAGUUUCUAGAGGCUACCUGUAUUCAUUGCUUCGUGGUUUCCUUCCAUUUUUAGAGCCAGUAAAGGUCAGUCCAGUCUUUUUCACAUCGCACCACUCUGACACUGACAGUUCUGUAUCCCUCUUCCACUUACGAGGACCCUUGUCAUUCCAUUAGGCCCACCCAGGCAAUCCAGGGUAAUCUUCUGUCUUAAGGUCAACUGAUUAGCAACCUCAAUUCCAUCUGUAACGUUAAUUCUCCUUUGCCUUGAAACCUAACGUUUUUACAAGUUCUGGGGAUUAGGACAUGGAUAUAUUUGGGUGAGGGUCAUUAAUUUCCCUGCCACAAAUAUUAUCCUAUCGGAACUCCUAGUUCAAGAUACCAUUAACUCCAUUUUAUGGGUAAAGAAGCCCACUCAGAAGGGAGGUGCCUUACCCAAGGACACAGUUAUUUUCGGAAGCAGACUUAGAAUAGAACCCAAUUCUCUAUGACCCCAAAGCUUGGCUCUUUCCACUGAAAAUAUUAGAUACUGAAUGUGACUGAAAAUAUGCAGUGUCUAUCAUAGGCUGUAAAGACUGAUUAAAAUGAGAAGGGUCCUAAAGAAGAAUAUGGGAAUGUUCCCAAAAGAUCAGGGAAAGUCUCUUUUGUUGAGAAGCUUCUGAGAAACUAUCAAGCAUGCCAAAGAAGAGAGGGAGCAAGAAAUAAUACAGAAAAAAGAAAAAUAAAAAAAGAUUUCCAUAAAGCUUAGGACCAGGCAAAAGAUUUGGUGCUUCAAAUGCUUCUGCAAAUUUUUUUUGAUGAUGUCAUCAUACUAAUGGGAACUGGGAGAAAAGUUCUUUGAUCAGUGUUUGCAAAUUUCCUAAACCUUGGGUUAGUAUCUGACUGCUGUGUUUUAUUUGAUGUUAAUGAUUGAUAUAGUUUGGCUCUGUGUCCUCACCCAAAUUUCAUGUCAAAUUGUAAUUCCCAAUGUUGUGAGACGGACCUGGUGGGAGAUGAUUGCAUUAUGGGGGUGGAUUUUCCCCUUGCUAUUCUCAUGAUAGUGAGUUCUCAUGAGAUCUAGUUGUUUGAAAGUGUGUAGCACUUCCCCCUUCGCUCUCUCUCUCUCUCCUGCUCCACCAUGGUAAGACAUGCUUGCUUCCCUGUCACCUUCCUCUAUGAUGGUAAGUUUUUGGAAGCAUCCCAGCUAUGCUCCCUGUAC
RNAcentral lists this long non-coding RNA (2647 nucleotides) under Homo sapiens (human). RNAcentral's name for it is "HSALNT0242807". Lineage: Eukaryota; Metazoa; Chordata; Mammalia; Primates; Hominidae. The record is from RNAcentral.